CCUACGGGAGGCAGCAGUGAGGAAUAUUGGUCAAUGGGCGGGAGCCUGAACCAGCCAAGUCGCGUGAGGGAAGACGGUCCUAUGGAUUGUAAACCUCUUUAGGCGGGGAGCAAUGCCGGGCACGCGUGCCCGGCGGGAGAGUACCCGCAGAAUAAGCAUCGGCUAACUCCGUGCCAGCAGCCGCGGUAAUACGGGGGAUGCGAGCGUUAUCCGGAUUUAUUGGGUUUAAAGGUUGCGUGGGCGGGUUUUUAAGUUAGCGGUAAAAUGUCCGGGCUCAACCCGGGCCGGCCGUUGAAACUGGGGAUCGGGAGUGGGCGAGAGGUAUGCGGAAUGCGUGGUGUAGCGGUGAAAUGCAUAGAUAUCACGCAGAACUCCGAUUGCGAAGGCAGCAUACCGGCGCCCGACUGACGCUGAGGCACGAAAGCGUGGGGAGCGAACAGGAUUAGAUACCCGGGUAGUC
RNAcentral lists this ribosomal RNA (460 nucleotides) under uncultured bacterium. Its description in RNAcentral is "partial 16S ribosomal RNA". It matches the Rfam family "Bacterial small subunit ribosomal RNA", at positions 338 to 795 of the family's 1533-position model. The record is from RNAcentral.